Molecule: ribosomal RNA, 1764 nt
Filed under: Escherichia coli
Lineage: Bacteria; Pseudomonadati; Pseudomonadota; Gammaproteobacteria; Enterobacterales; Enterobacteriaceae
Description: partial 23S ribosomal RNA
Rfam family: Bacterial large subunit ribosomal RNA
Source: RNAcentral
CGGGACACGUGGUAUCCUGUCUGAAUAUGGGGGGACCAUCCUCCAAGGCUAAAUACUCCUGACUGACCGAUAGUGAACCAGUACCGUGAGGGAAAGGCGAAAAGAACCCCGGCGAGGGGAGUGAAAAAGAACCUGAAACCGUGUACGUACAAGCAGUGGGAGCACGCUUAGGCGUGUGACUGCGUACCUUUUGUAUAAUGGGUCAGCGACUUAUAUUCUGUAGCAAGGUUAACCGAAUAGGGGAGCCGAAGGGAAACCGAGUCUUAACUGGGCGUUAAGUUGCAGGGUAUAGACCCGAAACCCGGUGAUCUAGCCAUGGGCAGGUUGAAGGUUGGGUAACACUAACUGGAGGACCGAACCGACUAAUGUUGAAAAAUUAGCGGAUGACUUGUGGCUGGGGGUGAAAGGCCAAUCAAACCGGGAGAUAGCUGGUUCUCCCCGAAAGCUAUUUAGGUAGCGCCUCGUGAAUUCAUCUCCGGGGGUAGAGCACUGUUUCGGCAAGGGGGUCAUCCCGACUUACCAACCCGAUGCAAACUGCGAAUACCGGAGAAUGUUAUCACGGGAGACACACGGCGGGUGCUAACGUCCGUCGUGAAGAGGGAAACAACCCAGACCGCCAGCUAAGGUCCCAAAGUCAUGGUUAAGUGGGAAACGAUGUGGGAAGGCCCAGACAGCCAGGAUGUUGGCUUAGAAGCAGCCAUCAUUUAAAGAAAGCGUAAUAGCUCACUGGUCGAGUCGGCCUGCGCGGAAGAUGUAACGGGGCUAAACCAUGCACCGAAGCUGCGGCAGCGACGCUUAUGCGUUGUUGGGUAGGGGAGCGUUCUGUAAGCCUGUGAAGGUGUACUGUGAGGUAUGCUGGAGGUAUCAGAAGUGCGAAUGCUGACAUAAGUAACGAUAAAGCGGGUGAAAAGCCCGCUCGCCGGAAGACCAAGGGUUCCUGUCCAACGUUAAUCGGGGCAGGGUGAGUCGACCCCUAAGGCGAGGCCGAAAGGCGUAGUCGAUGGGAAACAGGUUAAUAUUCCUGUACUUGGUGUUACUGCGAAGGGGGGACGGAGAAGGCUAUGUUGGCCGGGCGACGGUUGUCCCGGUUUAAGCGUGUAGGCUGGUUUUCCAGGCAAAUCCGGAAAAUCAAGGCUGAGGCGUGAUGACGAGGCACUACGGUGCUGAAGCAACAAAUGCCCUGCUUCCAGGAAAAGCCUCUAAGCAUCAGGUAACAUCAAAUCGUACCCCAAACCGACACAGGUGGUCAGGUAGAGAAUACCAAGGCGCUUGAGAGAACUCGGGUGAAGGAACUAGGCAAAAUGGUGCCGUAACUUCGGGAGAAGGCACGCUGAUACGUAGGUGAAGUCCCUCGCGGAUGGAGCUGAAAUCAGUCGAAGAUACCAGCUGGCUGCAACUGUUUAUUAAAAACACAGCACUGUGCAAACACGAAAGUGGACGUAUACGGUGUGACGCCUGCCCGGUGCCGGAAGGUUAAUUGAUGGGGUCAGCGCAAGCGAAGCUCUUGAUCGAAGCCCCGGUAAACGGCGGCCGUAACUAUAACGGUCCUAAGGUAGCGAAAUUCCUUGUCGGGUAAGUUCCGACCUGCACGAAUGGCGUAAUGAUGGCCAGGCUGUCUCCACCCGAGACUCAGUGAAAUUGAACUCGCUGUGAAGAUGCAGUGUACCCGCGGCAAGACGGAAAGACCCCGUGAACCUUUACUAUAGCUUGACACUGAACAUUGAGCCUUGAUGUGUAGGAUAGGUGGGAGGCUUUGAAGUGUGG